UCACAUCAGCAAUCUGAAGCCAUUUCAUGCAAAUCUAGCAGAUGCAAGUAAAAGCAAGCCAUAAGAACUGCCAUCAGCACCAAGCCACCAUCACAGCACUGAAUAGAGGAAAUUUUGGCAAGGAAGAUGACAACAAUUAACCAACGACCGACAUAGGAGUUCCUAAUGAAAUGGGAAGGUUUGGGGUCGGAUGAGAUCACUUGGGAGAAAGAAGC
Molecule: long non-coding RNA, 215 nt
Filed under: Theobroma cacao (cacao)
Lineage: Eukaryota; Viridiplantae; Streptophyta; Magnoliopsida; Malvales; Malvaceae
Description: long non-coding RNA (TCAC_LNC003406)
Source: RNAcentral